CGGCGUGGAUGAGGCAUGCAAGUCGAACGAAGUUGGCCCCGAGCUUGCUUGGGGCCCGCUUAGUGGCGGAAGGGUUAGUAAUACAUGGGCAAUCUGCCUUUUACUCGGGAAUAACGGCUGGAAACGGUCGCUAAUGCCCGAUGAGGUGGGACAGGGCAUCCUGUCUUUAUCAAAGUGGGGGAACUUCGGUCCUCACGGUAAAAGAGGAGCCCAUGGGAUAUCAGCUUGUUGGUGUGGUAACGGCGCACCAAGGCUAAGACGUCUAGGCGGACCGAGAGGUUGACCGCCAACACUGGGACUGAGACACUGCCCAGACUCCUACGGGAGGCUGCAGUCGAGAAUCAUUCGCAAUGGGCGAAAGCCUGACGAUGCGACGCCGUGUGAACGAAGAAGGCCUUCGGGUUGUAAAGUUCUUUCGCCUGGGAACAAGAGAGGUUGGCUAAUAUCCAGCCGAUUUGAGGGUACUAGGUAAAGAAGCACCGGCUAACUCCGUGCCAGCAGCUGCGGUAAUACGGAGGGUGCAAGCAUUAAUCGGAUUUAUUGGGCGUAAAGGGCGUCUAGGCGGAAGUUUAAGUCAAGCGUUAAAGACCGGGGCUCAACCCCGGGCAAGCGUUUGAAACUGGAUUUCUUGAGGGUAGACGGGGAAAGCGGAAUUCCACGUGUAGCGGUGGAAUGCGUAGAUAUGUGGAAGAACACCUGUGGCGAAAGCGGCUUUCUAGUUUAUUCCUGACGCUGAAGCGCGAAAGCAAGGGGAGCAAACAGGAUUAGAUACCCUGGUAGUCCUUGCCGUAAACGAUGUACACUAGAUGUAGCUGGAAUCAACCCCGGCUGUGUCGUAGCUAACGCAUUAAGUGUACCGCCUGAAGAGUACGCCCGCAAGGGUGAAACUCAAAAGAAUUGACGGGGGCCCGCACAAGCAGUGGAGCAUGGGGUUUAAUUCGAUGAUACGCGAAGAACCUUACCCAGACUUGACAUGUAGUGGACCGCUCUAGAAAUAGAGUUUCUCGUAAGAGCCGCUACACAGGUGCUGCAUGGCUGUCGUCAGCUCGUGCCGUGAGGUGUUGGGUUAAGUCCCGCAACGAGCGCAACCCCUUAU
This 1096-nucleotide ribosomal RNA is filed under the name uncultured bacterium. Its description in RNAcentral is "bacterial SSU rRNA". It matches the Rfam family "Bacterial small subunit ribosomal RNA", at positions 40 to 1109 of the family's 1533-position model. The record is from RNAcentral.